CUGGUCUUGAACUCCUGACCUCAGGUGAUCUGCCCACUUCGGCCUUGCAAGGUACAGAGAUUACAGGCAUUACUGCUUUCUUAAUGGCUUUUAAUGUUACUCCCCCAAAACAAAAAGACCCAACACCUUAAUUAACAUGGACACAAAUAAUUC
Long non-coding RNA from Sapajus apella (tufted capuchin), 153 nucleotides. RefSeq lists it as uncharacterized. The record is from RefSeq and is a predicted model, not a curated record. NCBI's taxonomy places the organism in Eukaryota, Metazoa, Chordata, Mammalia, Primates, Cebidae. The transcript is spliced from 2 exons.